UACGUAGGGUGCGAGCGUUGUCCGGAAUUAUUGGGCGUAAAGGGCGCGUAGGCGGCAAUUCAAGUCAUCUGUGAAAUCUCCGGGCUUAACUCGGAACGGUCAGAUGAUACUGCUUUGCUCGAGUGCGGAAGGGGCAAUCGGAAUUCUUGGUGUAGCGGUGAAAUGCGUAGAUAUCAAGAGGAACACCUGAGGUGAAGACGGGUUGCUGGGCCGACACUGACGCUGACAGCGCGAAAGCCAGGGGAGCAAACGGG
This 254-nucleotide ribosomal RNA is filed under the name uncultured bacterium. RNAcentral describes it as "partial 16S ribosomal RNA". It matches the Rfam family "Bacterial small subunit ribosomal RNA", at positions 524 to 776 of the family's 1533-position model. The record is from RNAcentral.